Molecule: ribosomal RNA, 420 nt
Filed under: uncultured bacterium
Lineage: Bacteria
Description: bacterial SSU rRNA
Rfam family: Archaeal small subunit ribosomal RNA
Source: RNAcentral
CCUANGGGAGGCAGCAGGCGCGAAAACUUUGCAAUGCGAGAAAUCGUGACAAGGGAACUCCGAGUGCCCGUAAAUUCGGGCUGUCCAUCUGUUUAAAAAACAGGUGAAGAAAGGGCCGGGCAAGACCGGUGCCAGCCGCCGCGGUAAUACCGGCGGCUCGAGUGGUGGCCACUAUUACUGGGCUUAAAGCGUCCGUAGCUGGUCUGUUAAGUCUCUGGGGAAAUCUACCGGCUUAACCGGUAGGCGUUUCAGGGAUACUGGCAGACUAGGGACCGGGAGAGGUGAGAGGUACUCCAGGGGUAGGAGUGAAAUCCUGUAAUCCUUGGGGGACCACCUGUGGCGAAGGCGUCUCACCAGAACGGCUCCGACAGUGAGGGACGAAAGCUGGGGGAGCAAACCGGAUUAGAUACCCUUNUANUC